UACGAAGGUGGCAAGCGUUACUCGGAAUUACUAGGCGUAAAGGGCAGGUAGGUGGUUUGGUCAGUCUGUUGUUAAAACUUUCGGCUUAACCGGAAGAGGUCAAUAGAUACUGCCAGACUUGAGUAUGGGAGAGGAUACUGGAAUUCCCGGUGUAGCGGUGAAAUGCGCAGAGUUCGGGAGGAACACCAAUGGCGAAAGCAGGUAUCUGGACCAUUACUGACACUCAGCUGCGAAAGCUAGGGGAG
RNAcentral lists this ribosomal RNA (245 nucleotides) under uncultured bacterium. Its description in RNAcentral is "partial 16S ribosomal RNA". It matches the Rfam family "Bacterial small subunit ribosomal RNA", at positions 524 to 768 of the family's 1533-position model. The record is from RNAcentral.